Molecule: ribosomal RNA, 468 nt
Filed under: uncultured bacterium
Lineage: Bacteria
Description: partial 16S ribosomal RNA
Rfam family: Bacterial small subunit ribosomal RNA
Source: RNAcentral
GACGAACGCUGGCGGCGUGCUUAACACAUGCAAGUCGAACGGAAAGGCCCUGCUUUUGUGGGGUGCUCGAGUGGCGAACGGGUGAGUAACAUGUGAGUAACCUGCCCUUGACUUUGGGAUAACUUCAGGAAACUGGGGCUAAUACCGGAUAGGAGCUCCUGCUGCAUGGUGGGGGUUGGAAAGUUUCGGCGGUUGGGGAUGGACUCGCGGCUUAUCAGCUUGUUGGUGGGGUAGUGACUUACCAAGGCUUUGACGGGUAGCCGGCCUGAGAGGGUGACCGGCCACAUUGGGACUGAGAUACGGACCAGACUCCUACGGGAGGCAGCAGUGGGGAAUAUUGCACAAUGGGCGGAAGCCUGAUGCAGCAACGCCGCGUGCGGGAUGACGGCCUUCGGGUUGUAAACCGCUUUCGCCUGUGACGAAGCGUGAGUGACGGUAAUGGGUAAAGAAGCACCGGCUAACUACGUG